GUAGGUGGCUAGCGUUGUCCGGAAUUAUUGGGCGUAAAGCGCGCGCAGGCGGUCCUUUAAGUCUGAUGUGAAAGCCCACGGCUCAACCGUGGAGGGUCAUUGGAAACUGGGGGACUUGAGUACAGAAGAGGAAAGCGGAAUUCCAAGUGUAGCGGUGAAAUGCGUAGAGAUUUGGAGGAACACCAGUGGCGAAGGCGGCUUUCUGGUCUGUAGCUGACGCUGAGGCGCGAAAGCGUGGGGAGCAAACAGGGAUUAGAUACCCUGGUAGUCCACGCCGUAAACGAUGAGUGCUAAGUGUUAGGGGGGUUUCCGCCCCCUUAGUGCUGCAGCUAACGCAUUAAGCACUCCGCCUGGGGAGUACGGCCGCAAGGCUG
This 374-nucleotide ribosomal RNA is filed under the name uncultured organism. Its description in RNAcentral is "partial 16S ribosomal RNA". It matches the Rfam family "Bacterial small subunit ribosomal RNA", at positions 527 to 896 of the family's 1533-position model. The record is from RNAcentral.